GGAAAGGGCAGUUCACCAGGACAUCCUGCCAAGAUUCUUACAUUUACCAAGGGGCAGAGUAGUGAACAGACACAGAAGGCUGCUGAUUUUAGAGCAAGGACUUGAGGUGGAAGCGGCAAGAGAAUAAAUCCUGGAGUCCAAGGCCUGAAACAGAUUUUACUUCCUUCUCAGCUUUACUGAAAGGCUAGUCCUGUUCAGCACCUUAUUGUUUCAUUGGAUGAGAGAAACCUAGGCAAUGGUCCUGGGACUUUGGAAUAAAGCAUCUACUUAUUCCUGCUUGUAUCAACUGUAGAAAGACUCAUAGUGUUUUUGCCUGGAGAAAGGCAUUAUUCUUCCUUCAGAAUCACCUGCUUCUCAAACCUACUCUUGAAGAGGAAGACGUUGUAAACAG
This 391-nucleotide long non-coding RNA is filed under the name Bos mutus (wild yak). Its description in RNAcentral is "lncRNA (ENSBMUG00000019666.1)". Lineage: Eukaryota; Metazoa; Chordata; Mammalia; Artiodactyla; Bovidae. The record is from RNAcentral.